AGACAACUGACCGGCUGAACCCAACCGCAUAGUUGGCGCACCGCCGCCGUUCGUUCUCUUCAACCCCCCCAGUUGGCAACCUCCGUCCGCGCGCGCGCCGGUGACACCUCCCUUCCUGACUACAUCUUCCUUCCAUCGCCGGUGGCGGCAGCCCCGAUCGCAUCGCAUGACCAGGAGCCACACCCCAAAAUCCCUCGCCGUCCUGCUCCGUGCCAGGAUGCACCCCGACUCUAUCCCCN
RNAcentral lists this long non-coding RNA (239 nucleotides) under Hordeum vulgare. Its description in RNAcentral is "long non-coding RNA (HVUL_LNC013110)". The record is from RNAcentral. Lineage: Eukaryota; Viridiplantae; Streptophyta; Magnoliopsida; Poales; Poaceae.